AGGAUUUCCCCUCUUACUUCGAUCCUCCCUCCUCUCCUUCCGAGCAUCCAGGAUGCCCUAGCUCCGCCGCUCCGCCGCUCCACCGGAGUUCCACCCGAGCGACCUCGCGCCGCCGGAGUUCCGCCAGGCUCGCCCUUCCUCGACUUGCUGCGGCCACUUAUCUCUCCCAUUUUGUAAAGUUAUCAUUUUUAUUACCUUCCUCUGCUAACUACUGAACUACUAAUACUUCAGGUCAGGUCGUUACAGAAAACCUGGUUGGUGGACCGGACCGGGAGAAGGGGAGGGAUCGGCGACGCGGACUGUCCAGUGGCCGGGAGAGACGAGCGCGGCGCCGAGGGAGCGGCCGAGGAAGCUGGACCGGCCGAAGGUGAC
Molecule: long non-coding RNA, 372 nt
Filed under: Ananas comosus (pineapple)
Lineage: Eukaryota; Viridiplantae; Streptophyta; Magnoliopsida; Poales; Bromeliaceae
Description: long non-coding RNA (ACOM_LNC008509)
Source: RNAcentral